GAGAUGUUAGUAAAAAUUUACAUAACCUUGUCAAGAUUAAGUUACAGGUGAAAGUCCUGUACAUCUCA
RNAcentral lists this transfer RNA (68 nucleotides) under Oreamnos americanus (mountain goat). Its description in RNAcentral is "tRNA-Asp". Lineage: Eukaryota; Metazoa; Chordata; Mammalia; Artiodactyla; Bovidae. The record is from RNAcentral.